RNAcentral lists this ribosomal RNA (253 nucleotides) under uncultured bacterium. RNAcentral's name for it is "partial 16S ribosomal RNA". It matches the Rfam family "Bacterial small subunit ribosomal RNA", at positions 524 to 776 of the family's 1533-position model. The record is from RNAcentral.
UACGAAGGGUGCAAACGUUGCUCGGAAUUACUGGGCGUAAAGCGUGCGUAGACGGUUAUGUAAGUUAGGUGUGAAAGCCCCGGGCUCAACCUGGGAAUUGCAUUUAAGACUGCAUAGCUAGGGUGCGGAAGAGGGAAGCGGAAUUUCCGGUGUAGCGGUGAAAUGCGUAGAUAUCGGAAGGAACAUCAGUGGCGAAAGCGGCUUCCUGGUCCAGCACCGACGUUCAGGCACGAAAGCGUGGGGAGCGAACCGG